UACCAGCUCUCCGAGUGGUAGGGAUGAUUAUUGGGCUUAAAGCGUCCGUAGCCGGCUUAGCAAGUUUCCUGUUAAACCCAGCGACUCAAUCGUUGGAUCGCGGGAAAUACUACUAGGCUAGGAGGCGGGAGAGGUCAACGGUACUUCUGGGGUAGGGGUGAAAUCCUAUAAUCCCGGGAGGACCACCAGUGGCGAAGGCUGUUGACUAGAACGCGCUCGACGGUGAGGGACGAGAGCUGGGGUAGCAAACCGGAUUAGAUACCCGGGUAGUCCCAGCUGUAAACGAUGCGAGCUAGGUGUUGGGAUGGCUACGGGCCAUUUCAGUGCCGCAGGGAGCCAUUAAGCUCGCCGCCUGGGGAGUACGGCCGCAAGGCUGAAACUUAAAGGAAUUGGCGGGGGAGCACCACAAGGCGUGAAGCUUGCGGUUC
This 428-nucleotide ribosomal RNA is filed under the name uncultured archaeon. RNAcentral describes it as "bacterial SSU rRNA". It matches the Rfam family "Archaeal small subunit ribosomal RNA", at positions 474 to 903 of the family's 1478-position model. The record is from RNAcentral.